This 1512-nucleotide long non-coding RNA is filed under the name Monodelphis domestica (gray short-tailed opossum). Its description in RNAcentral is "lncRNA (ENSMODG00000048921.1)". Lineage: Eukaryota; Metazoa; Chordata; Mammalia; Didelphimorphia; Didelphidae. The record is from RNAcentral.
AUAUUCUUAUAUAGUUAGAAAACCGAAUUAUAGCCAUAUUGGCAUUCUCACUAUAAAUGAAGUGUGAGAGAAAUCCAGAGACCUUUGAAAUGGAAAAGCCUGGGAGACUGCAAAGAUUCCACCAGCAGUAGAGGGGAUGGACUGAAAAGGUUUGGAACCUUGGAAAAGGGAACAACCCAGGAGUCAGUUGGUCAGCUCUCUCUUGACUUGAGACUUCUGGAGGAGAGGUCAAUCUAUAAUUGUAUCCUGAUCCAAGAAAUCUUUCCUUCCCUGAACCUGAUCACAAUCCUCCCAAACCAGAUGAAGGUAAUUUAAAAAAAGAAAAUUCAAAGCUGGAUGAGAGCCAGGGAAAUACUUAAAGUAUUGGUCACCCUGUCCUUGAUGAUAUUCUGGAAGUCAGAGAACCCAGUGAAGAUUCCCUAGCUAGGAAAAAUGAAGUCCAGAGAAACAUCUCCACCAAUUCCACAUACUGUUACUGUUGUUGUUUUUGAAGAGGUGCCUUGGCAGGAGUGGUGGCUCAGAACCUGUGAUUUUAUCUGGAUAGGGGACCAGUACUUUUGGUGUGAAAAUUCCCUCUACCAUUCUGUACUGUUGCUUCCCUGCUGGCUGCCUGGUCAGAGCCCCGAACUUCUGUGCUGGUACCAAGGCACUCUGUCACUGCUGCAGCCUUCACCCUGGAAUCCUAGUCAGCUGGAUUCUUACCACAGGUCUCAGUGCAGUAGAUGUGGAGGGACAUUGGAGACUGAGCUUUUCUGUCCUUUGCUGGCUUAUUAUCUAAAUUAUUGCUAGACUGUAUUAAGCUGAUCUGUAGUGGAUCCACUCUGAGGCCAAAACCUCCAGAGGCAGAGACUCAAGAUAUAGGAGUGGUGGCUGAACCAAGAUGCCCUCCUCCCUGUCCAUCUUCUCCAGCUGCCUCCCUUCCAUCUGUGUGUGGUCAGAGCCUUGAGCCUUGAAUAGCUGUGGUAGCAAGGCACUCCCUCCAGACUGGAGCCCUCACCCCAAGGUCAUAGCAUCUGGUAGAAUCUCAGCACAGUAGGUGGGGGAAAGGGUUUUGGGAUGCUCCUUUUUUAUUUUCCUUAAACCUGAGAAUUCAGCCUUUUCUGUGUACCUUGCAAGUUGAAUCAAGCAGGAACAUCCCUGAACUCUGUCCUGUUUUUGUAUUUUUUUUUUGUUUCCCACUCGAAACACUUUUUUUUUUUGAUUGGUGUGAAAGGGUUUUCCCAGAGAACAUGACAUCUUGACUCCCAAAAUGACUAUGAAGUAUUGUAAAUGAAAAAAAUACAUAAUUUAUAUUUGAUCUUGGAAAUAAUAAGGAGCCACUGGAGUUUAUUUAAAGGAGGGGAAGUGUGGACAUGAUUAGAAUUGUGUUUUUGAGCAAUCAAUUUGAAAUCCUAUGAGUUGAAGCUUUGAUAGUGUUAGGGGUAAAAUUAGGGUUGUUGGCUUAAUAUGUUAUUUUACUGGUCACUAGGGAUUUAAAUUCAAUCCCAAUAAAAUACUGAAGUCAGUUUGGCA